This 530-nucleotide ribosomal RNA is filed under the name uncultured rumen protozoa. RNAcentral's name for it is "SSU rRNA". It matches the Rfam family "Eukaryotic small subunit ribosomal RNA", at positions 349 to 961 of the family's 1831-position model. The record is from RNAcentral.
GCUCUCACGGGUAACAGGGAAUUAGGGUUCGAUUCUGGAGAAGGAGCCUGAGAAACGGCUACUACAUCUACGGAAGGCAGCAGGCGCGUAAAUUACCCAAUCCUGACUCAGGGAGGUGGUGACAAGAUAUAACGACCCGAUUAACGUCGUGAUUGUAGUGAGGAUAUUCCAAAAAGAAUCACAAGAACGAUUAGAGGGCAAGUCUGGUGCCAGCAGCCGCGGUAAUUCCAGCUCUAAUAGCGUAUAUUAAAGUUGCUGCAGUUAAAAAGCUCGUAGUUGGAUUUCAAGGAUCACAUAUUCCUAAGGAAUGUGUACCCUACUAGCCAGUUCUGGCUGUUACUGUGAGAAAAUUAGAGUGUUUAAAGCAGGCUCAUGCAAGAAUACAUUAGCAUGGAAUAACGAAUGAGUCUAGAAUCUUGGUUAAUUCUAGGUCUCGAUUAAUAGAGACAGUUGGGGGCAUUAGUAUUUAAUUGUCAGAGGUGAAAUUCUUGGAUUUGUUAAAGACUAACGUAUGCGAAAGCAUUUGCCAA